Cryptotermes secundus is the source of this 1216-nucleotide long non-coding RNA. RefSeq lists it as uncharacterized. Lineage: Eukaryota; Metazoa; Arthropoda; Insecta; Blattodea; Kalotermitidae. The record is from RefSeq and is a predicted model, not a curated record. The transcript has 4 exons.
UCUCCGGCUGCACCACCGGAAGUAGCGGCAGUUAUGUGCACAGGUAGCGAAUCAUCGUUGGUCGCUGGUUACUUAACGGCACUGCAUCAACUGCAGAGAUUACAUGGAAUGAGACGAGGAAGAUAAUUCACAUUGAAUUGGCAAGAUCCGGAGGGGAAACGGCCCUGGCCUACUUGAAAAAUACUUGACCUAUUUCGAGAUUCACCUAACGGACUGAGAUACACUUCGAAGAAAGAAGACCACAAUUGUUGCAUAAAUUGAGGAGUACCUGUAAUUAUAUCAGAGAGGUAUCACCAUUAUUAACAACAUUAUUUAACUGUUUCUGCAGUUGUUAAGAAGAAAGCAUUUCAGGAGUUUGCUACACCCUAUUCACUCAUACUUCAUGGCUGCUUAUUACUUAGUGACGUGGAUGAAACCAGCAAUGCUGUAACUCCACUAUGAAGAGUUUCUUCAACUGCAAAUAAGAAGAUGAAACUACAAAGAGCCAUACUAAUACAUCAUACACGUAGAAAAUAUAUAAGAAUAAAAAUACUGACAACUGUUAUAAAAUAUAAAAACAAAAUCUGAACUGAAUUGUCAUUAUCAAAUUUCAAAACUGUUUCUACUGAUAUGAAAGCUUCAAGAUGUCUGUUCAUAGCACACCACUGACAGCAUAUAAUAAGUUGCAGUUAAUCUGUGACUACAGCAAACAGCAUCAUGAAUCAAUACAAAUCUGUGAACCAUUAAUAUUCACAGUGUUUCAAGUGGGACUUCCCAGUCAUCUGAAUCAAUUUCUCCCUUGAAGGUCUCUUCAGGUUAAUAACAACAGGAUCCACAGCUUCCCUAUUUUUUUUGUAGAGAUUUCUGCUUCCCAUCUCCCCUUCCUCAGCCUCUCUCCAUGUCAGACAUAAUUUUCUCACAAUGUCGGAGAGACCUGAAAGUUAUGAAAACAGAAUUGUACCACUGUCUCUACAUUCUACAGCAACAUUACAAAAGAUUAGCACUACAAUUAAUUCUAUGUGACAGACAAUGUCUUUAGUCAACACAAAAAGACAAACAUCCAAACCUGUUCCAAAAAUUCCUCCGACGUCUUUUACACACUUUCCUUUCCAAACCCAAUCAAUGCUGCUACAUCAGUAUCUCUUAGUCUGGGACCAAACCAGUUCAGUGGGGUUGAAAAGGCAAUAAUAUGGUGGUACGUGUAAAAGUCUGUACUGAUGCUCUUCAAUAAAUUCAU